UAGGGAAUUUCGUCAAUGGGCGCAAGCCUGAACGAGCAAUGCCGCGUGAACGAGGAAGGUCUUCGGAUCGUUAAAGUUCUGUUGAGAGGGAAAAAGGGUCACCAGAGGAAAUGCUGGUGAAGUGAUAUUACCUUUCGAGGAAGUCACGGCUAACUACGUGCC
Molecule: ribosomal RNA, 162 nt
Filed under: uncultured bacterium
Lineage: Bacteria
Description: partial 16S ribosomal RNA
Rfam family: Bacterial small subunit ribosomal RNA
Source: RNAcentral